AAAAGUUUCAUUCCUUCAAUUCUGUUGUUGUAUGGUUUUUAUACUAGCAAAUAAAGUCCUAGUGUGUCGUCUGAUACAAUAUUACACCGCCGGUGAAUGUCCUAGCUGUGUACGGUACUAAAUCGUUUCUUUUCGUUUCUCAAUAAUAUUCACAUAUUCCUUGUUAUCAGAGUCUAAAAUCGUAUACUUUUUAUUCGAUUUUAUUAAUUGAUCAAUUGUUUUUUCAAUAAGACCGUUCUUAUCCAAAUUCCAGAAUAUUUGUCACAGUAUAGCAAAUUCUAUUCUUACAUCGUGCUGUUGUAUCCAUCCUCUGAUAUAUAGUAUCUUUGUAAAAGUCUCAAAUAAUCAUAUAUCUGUGUACGUCCUUUCUUUAAUUAUUUAAUUUUAUAAGACAUAUCCUUUGUUAUAACUGUUCAAAAUUGCGUACCUAAGUUCAUAAGUCUGAUGCAAUAACACAGUCACGAUUAUGAUAGGACGUUCUAGCAAUGCGGAAGUUAUCUCGAGUGGAUAAAUAUGUGUCUUUACUUCCUGAUUUAAACGUAGUAACUGAUGUGUUUACAUUGUAUUAAGAGGUUUUGAAAAAGGCUACUUGCUUUUUCAGCAUGAAGCAGAGGAGCUUUUUAUUGCAUCUGAAAAAAGACACACACACAGCAGUUGUGAUAGGAUUCAGGAAGGAUAUGAAAUAUGAAGCUGCCUGUACAAAAAUGUUAAUUUAAACGUUUUGACAAAACCUUAUAUUCUCAAAGCACUGAUGGACAAGUUUCCAAUUCAGUCACAACAUAAAGCAAAGGCGGUGUGUAAUUGGAUAGACAUUGUCUGGGACUGAUGAUUCGUGGAAAAUUCGAUCUGUUAUUACAAUGAAAUUCUUCUUUAGUGAGUUCCAAAGUAUGAUUUCAUGAAAAGAUGUCUAGGAGGUUUUAAUCCGCAGUCUUGGGUAGCUGCUGUUUAAAGAAAAAGAAAAAAAUCUGCCAAGACAAUGAUUAUGUUAAUGAAACAUAUCUUUAUAGUAUACAUACUUCCCAUUAAAAAUAGAUUUUGGGCACAAGUUGUCAUACUGUUUGCAGAAUUCAAAAGGAAGAAUUGAUUAUGAUAAGUAUUGUUUAAGAAAUUUCUAAAAGUAAUUUGAAGAUGUAAGAUAAUUUAAAAUUAAGGAAGCGAUACAGUUGAAAACACAUAAUUGAUAUUAUCAUUGAAAUAUGAUAAACAUGUGCCAGUUGAUGUCAUUUUUUUUUUUUUUUUUUUUUUUGAAGAGACAUAUCUUCUUACAGUGUUACAAGCCUUAGGUAAAGUGAAAUCUAUGAAAAUAUUGCAAAUUAUUAUGUUUUUUUUCUCUUUGCUUCAUUGAAGUAUAUUAAUUUAAGGUAUUAGAUCACUAAUAGAGAACCUCCUUUCUGAAGAGUAUUUAAUUCCUACCAUCAGCCUACUUUUACUGCAAUUCUUAGAGGGAGUAGGUUCAAGCCCUACUUGGACCAAAUCAUUUUUCCUUAUUUUCCUUUUAUGUAGUAAGUUCUUACUUCUUUCAAGACUUAUUAAUGAUUUCUUGUACAAAAAUUGAAAAAGAUGAAUCUUAUUAGCGAUUUCUUGGUGAUUUACUACUUAAACAGAAGGGGUAGAGUUACACAUUUUUAGAAAUAUUGAGUUACACGCGGUGAAAGUUCUCUAUUUUGCCUUCACUCUUAGAUUAUGUACUGUGGAAGAAAUUUAAGUAGGUUUUACCUCUGCCCUAAGGUUAUUUUUUAAUUGAGUAAGCACAAUUCAAAACAGAAACACAGCAUUCGACCUUAUUUUUAGUAUUGAAGUAUUAAUUCUGUCUCAUUAAAUCCGUUUACUUGAGGCACUAUACAAAAAAUGAUAUUAAUAUUUUUAUUUUGUGUUUUAUAAUUGUUUACCAGUAGUUUGAUGUUUCUUUUAUCAAAAUUUAUGGUAAAAUGAGUUCUCUGCAAACGUUUUGAGUAGUGGCUAUCACUUUGAAAUUUUUCUCUACUUUAGCUUGAGGAGAUACCAUAAGUUAUACAAAAUUUAUAAAAAAAAUACGGCACGGUAAAGUUGUUUAAAAUAUGCAAAAUAGUCCAAAACACAAUUACCUUUUAGAAUAUACCAAGCAAAGGCCAUUUUUUUUUAAAAUUUACUAUUAGUGACCUAAUACCUUAAAGCUAGAGACAAAGCCUAAAUAUUUUUGACAACCUUUGUAUGUAAAAGUUUUGGGAAUGGCAACAGACAUUUGUAAAUAAAUAAAAAUAAAAGAAAUGCAGUCAGCAACCUGUCAAAAUAUUAGAAAGAGGCUCUCCCUGUUGUUUUAGCCCACUCACUUGAACAAAACUCAUGAUGUACGUGGAUAGUUGGAUAUCUAUCGCCCAUUCGUCAUUGUCUACAAUUUCUUUAAAGGACAAUGCCUUCUAAACCACUUUGCAUGGACAAGACUUCAAAGGAAUGUUUCUUUGGUUAUUCCCUUUCAGAAUUUUCUCAUCUAGAUCAUUCCUGCAGAAUUGCCUUUUUUGUCAUACCAUCCAAAAGGAAACAUGUAAAAAGAUCCUCCUCUUAGACAGAGCUCACCUGAUUUUUAUAUAGCAUCACAGAUAUGUUUAUUGGGUGAACCUCUACUUUAUUCCUUCAGACAUUUCGUUUUGUUUUAAAACAUGCCAGCCAGAUGGCAGAAAUAGUUUUCCAUAUAUAUAUAUAUAUCGAAACAAGGGAACUUUGAAAAUAUUCUUUGAAACUGGAUGAUUGAUUUCGGAAUGAUUUUACAGCAAUGUUUUCUAACUGCAUAUUAGUAGUGUCUGUAUUAAUUAUAGUACAAUAAUGGGAUACUCGUAUAUGUUUGAAAGAACGAUAUGUGAUGGAAGGACCAAAAAAAGUUGAAAAAUCUAGAGACUCGAAAAUAAAUUGUUUUCCUGUAUAAUUAUUAUAUAUACCUAUAUGUGAAAAGCACUAUCGGUUAGUUUCUUUAAUAGACAAUAGAAUUAUUAGCAGAAGAAAUCUGUGUUGUACUAACGGGAAAAACCAUUUUCAGUAUGUUUGUGCUGUGUCAUCACAUCUAAGCAAAAAGUGCUCGAGGUGAGUUGUCGAUGGUCUCCCUUCAUUGUAAACAAUUUGACUGUUAACUCUCUCUCACACACACACAAACACACGCUCACACACACACACACACACACAAUGUUAUUCCAGUCUUAAUAAAACUUGUUAAAAUAUAUUUCUCAAUCAAAUUGACUAGUUUGCUACAUUUUUUGAGGCCCCAGUUGGGUAACCCAGUUUAUUUUCCUUUGCAUAACAUACAUAUGACAUACAAUUAUAUAUACAAUGUCAGUGAUAUAUAUAGUCAAAAACAAACAUGAACUUAACAUGUUUCGAAUCAAAAUCACGUCAGAUUCAAUACGAAUAUUAUGCAAAGAGUUUUGGAAGGUAAGCAAAAGGAAGGAAGGAGAAGGAAGUAGAGAAAGAAAAAAGCUAUGUCGCUUGGGAGUUCUAACUUUGAUUAAUGAAAAAGUAGAUUAAAAAUGAGGAAUAAGGGAUGAUCGUUUCCUGGCUUCAGUAGUAAAUACUCAAUACUAGCAUGUGUACGAGAGUUUUAGGGGUUGUAAAGUUUAGUUUAGUCAGCUAUUAUAUUUCAUCGAACUUUGACCAUUUUUCUUCAUGUCUAUCUAACUUGUUUUGCAUUAAUGCGAUUUCUUUUUCAAUUUUUAUCCUAGCUUUCAAGUAUUGUACAAAGCAGUCAAACAUUGGAAUGUUUUUGCUGUACUUAGAUUUAAAUAUAAAAUAUUUCCAUAAUAUUAUUAUAUAUAAAGUUUAGAACAUCAUUUUUCUUAUUGUUUUGUGUUACACCGAAACAUAUGUCUUUGAUAUUCAGUUUCACGUCAAUUCCUUUAGUAGUCAAUAGAUUUUGAAUAUUGUUCCAAAUGGUUUGUACUUUGGGGCAUUCCAAUAUUAUGUGUUCAAUUGUUUCUGUAUUCAUGCAGCAGAAGUCACAUAGGUUACUGGGGGCCAGCUUACAGAUAAAUAGAUAUUUAUUUGUGGGCAACAGACUCAUUAAAAAAUUGUAUUGAAAACUGCGUAGAUUUGUAUCAAUGGUAGAAAGGAAUGGUACGCUAAAAAUAUUCUUCCAAUUAAGGUUUUCAUUUUCAAAAAAAAAAAUCCCAUUUCGCAGCAGCAGUUGGUUUUUCAUAUGGUUCAUUGGUUGCUUGUAAUUUAUAAAGAUACUGGUUGGGUGUUUUACAAACUUUUAGUUUUUCUAUAUGAAUGUUUGUUUUAUUUCCGUACAGGAAAUUUUCAGAGAUGCUUUCUAUUAAUAUUUUCGGUAUCUUUGUAACCAAUUGGUAGUAUUUGAGAUAAUCACUUUUUUCCAAGUUAAGUAUUCGUUCUGCUUCUUCAAACUUAUAAAACCUGUUUGUUCGGAAAUAAAAUACAUGUGAUUGAUCAAUA
Molecule: long non-coding RNA, 4416 nt
Organism: Mercenaria mercenaria
Lineage: Eukaryota; Metazoa; Mollusca; Bivalvia; Venerida; Veneridae
Exons: 2
Source: RefSeq, a predicted model, not a curated record